GCCCAUCAUCACCUGGAAUAGCUCAGUUGGUAGAGCAUGAGACUCUUAAUCUCAGGGUUGUGGGAUCGAGCCCCAUGGUGGGCA
Molecule: transfer RNA, 84 nt
Filed under: Podarcis lilfordi (Lilford's wall lizard)
Lineage: Eukaryota; Metazoa; Chordata; Lepidosauria; Squamata; Lacertidae
Description: tRNA.Lys
Rfam family: tRNA (bases 19-76)
About the family: Transfer RNA (tRNA) molecules are approximately 80 nucleotides in length. Their secondary structure includes four short double-helical elements and three loops (D, anti-codon, and T loops).
Source: RNAcentral